This 479-nucleotide ribosomal RNA is filed under the name uncultured bacterium. RNAcentral's name for it is "SSU rRNA". It matches the Rfam family "Bacterial small subunit ribosomal RNA", at positions 26 to 518 of the family's 1533-position model. The record is from RNAcentral.
AGAACGAACGCUGGCGGCAUGCCUAACACAUGCAAGUCGAACGCUUUUGGGGCUUCGGUCCCAAAGGAGUGGCGCACGGGUGAGUAGCGCGUGGGAACCUGCCCUGGAGUGGGGGAUAACCGAGGGAAACUUCGGCUAAUACCGCAUACGCCCCGGGACUUGGUCUUCGGAUUAGGUCUGGGGGGAAAGAUUGAUCGCAGCAGGAGGGGCCCGCGUCGGAUUAGCUGGUUGGUGGGGUAACGGCUCACCAAGGCGAUGAUCCGUAGCUGGUCUGAGAGGAUGAUCAGCCACACUGGGACUGAGACACGGCCCAGACUCCUACGGGAGGCAGCAGUGGGGAAUAUUGGACAAUGGGGGCAACCCUGAUCCAGCAAUGCCGCGUGAGUGAUGAAGGCCUUAGGGUUGUAAAGCUCUUUCGCCCGCGACGAUGAUGACGGUAGCGGGAGAAGAAGCCCGGCUAACUUCGUGCCAGCAGCCGC